UACGUAGGUGGCAAGCGUUAUCCGGAAUUAUUGGGCGUAAGGAGGGAGCAGGCGGCAGCAAAGGUCUGUGGUGAAAGACUGAAGCUUAACUUCAGUAAGCCAUAGAAACCGGGCAGCUAGAGUGCAGGAGAGGAUCGUGGAAUUCCAUGUGUAGCGGUGAAAUGCGUAGAUAUAUGGAGGAACACCAGUGGCGAAGGCGACGAUCUGGCCUGCAACUGACGCUCAGUCCCGAAAGCGUGGGGAGCAAAUAGG
This 252-nucleotide ribosomal RNA is filed under the name uncultured bacterium. Its description in RNAcentral is "partial 16S ribosomal RNA". It matches the Rfam family "Bacterial small subunit ribosomal RNA", at positions 524 to 776 of the family's 1533-position model. The record is from RNAcentral.